GCGUCGGUGGUAUAACGGUUAGCAUAGCUGCCUUCCAAGCAGUUGACCCGGGUUCGACUGCCGGCCGACGCA
Molecule: non-coding RNA, 72 nt
Organism: Stegodyphus mimosarum
Lineage: Eukaryota; Metazoa; Arthropoda; Arachnida; Araneae; Eresidae
Source: Rfam